UAAACUACGAUUAGAUACCCUAUUAUUUUAAAUGUAAAUUAUUUAUACUUGAGUAGUAAUAGUUAUGGGCUUGAAACUCAAAGAAUUUGGCGGUGUUUUAGUCCUUUCAGAGGAACCUGUCCCGUGAUCGAUAGUCCACGUAAAAUCUUACUUAUUUUUGUUUUCAGCUUGUAUACCGCCGUCGUCAGAAUGUCUUUGGAGAGGUAUAAUUUUCUUAAAUUUUUAUUAGAAAUGAUGUCAGGUCAAGGUGCAGUUUAUGAAUAAGUGGAGAUGGGUUACAAUAAAUUUAUUUAAUAUGGAAAUUGUUUUGAAAUAAAUAAUAGAAAGUGGAUUUGAAGGUAAUUGAGUUAAUUAAGUUAAUUUGAUUUUGGCUCUAAAACAUGCACACAUCGCCCGUCGCUCUUA
This 405-nucleotide ribosomal RNA is filed under the name Scopura montana. RNAcentral describes it as "partial 12S ribosomal RNA". The stretch from base 51 to 405 matches the Rfam family "Microsporidia small subunit ribosomal RNA", at positions 752 to 1207 of the family's 1311-position model. The record is from RNAcentral. Lineage: Eukaryota; Metazoa; Arthropoda; Insecta; Plecoptera; Scopuridae.